GGAGAGGUGGCCGAGUGGUUUAAGGCAGCUGCCUGCUAAGCAGUUGUCCGGGCUAAAACCUGGACCGCGGGUUCGAAUCCCGCCCUCUCCG
This 91-nucleotide transfer RNA is filed under the name Elusimicrobiota bacterium. RNAcentral describes it as "Elusimicrobia bacterium (hot springs metagenome) tRNA-Ser". It matches the Rfam family "tRNA". From Rfam's summary of the family: Transfer RNA (tRNA) molecules are approximately 80 nucleotides in length. Their secondary structure includes four short double-helical elements and three loops (D, anti-codon, and T loops). Lineage: Bacteria; Pseudomonadati; Elusimicrobiota. The record is from RNAcentral.